AAUUCUAUGUCAACUGUUUGCUAAUAUAGGCGGCGCAGAGAUAUGAAAACCAAACCGUGACAAUACACCUAAGCUAAAAGGUCAACGCACGCCUAAACUAGCAGCUCAACUCAUGAUUGGACUAAUAAUUUAAAACUAAAACUAAAACCUAAACCUAUUUUACAAAUAAAACUCAUAAUUAGGCUAACAACCCUACCCAUCAACUAACGACUUGACGGUAUGCUAUUCCUUCUUUUUUUUAAAGCUUCACUACCAUCGAAAUAUAUAUAACAGUAGUAAAAUUGUAAACUUUUAUUUUUAUACCAUAGUAGUAUGGCUAUGAUUGGAAGGUUGUAGUGUCAGUCAAGUUGGAAAAACUGUUGGCACUUUUUUUCUGAAUCAAUGGAAUUCUUAUCAAACACAUGCAAACGUAUAAAGAAGACUUGAAUAGAUAAUCUUUGAAUUCAAACAAAUCCUAGUCAACUGAACAACGCAUCUACCUCAGCAGUCCUUGGGAAAUGUAUAAAUAGGCAAGCAUUAAACUUUUAUAUAUAAAACCAUCGAGAUCUCUAUUUUUAACUCGGUGGUUUCUUUCACAAGACUUACUUCAAGAACGACAACACAUCCUGACAGUUAAUUCAUUAAUACUAAUACUAUCGAGGAUUCUGUCAUCCAAGUGGAAUGAACAUGGGCAUCAAAGGAAUGUUUCCUCAAAGUGAGAACUAUAGUGUUGCAAGAGCGAAUACUUGGUCGCUUAGAACAAAACGAAUUACUGUCAUUAGGAUAUGCUCAAAAGUGUGGCGCUAUAUCUUGUAUCUAUUGCUACGUUCAUUCAUUGAUCCAACAGCAUGGGUAUAGAAAGAAGACGAUAAGCAGGAGUUGCGCAAACGAAGUUAUGGAGUUUCUUGCAUGCAUGCAUGUUUUGGCAUAAAGCUGGUACUUCGAAAUAUGCCUAUGAAAUCUCUACCUGCUUUGCACCCUAAAUAUAACGUGUCGUCUUGUAGCUGCAUGUGAAUUACAACGAUUGAUAGAUGAAAAACAAAUCGACUUGUUGCCCAUUUCAUCGUUUCAAACGACUGGUAGUGUUGCUUGUGUCCAUAUCCAUACUAUGUCCGUGUGUUUUGCUUUAUUACACUUGGUCAAAGAAAUCUAUAUGAUGUUCUUUACGAAACCCACAAAGUCAUUAGGGAUAUCAUUCGAACAGAAGGGUAUGUAUGCAAAAUACACUACAAGGACUAAGCCCAAGCACCGUAUUGUUUCAGUCUCGAAGUAAUUCUAUGUACCCGUGCAUUGGAGAUGCGUUUAAUUAACAUGGUGCGAUUGGACUUGAGUGAGCUGACAGCACUGUAUGAGGGUCUGUUUGCCAAGAUUCAGGACUUGUUGAAAGAGUUAUUACAACUACAACUAUAAUUAUAACUACAACUAUAACUAUAACUGCAACUAUAACUACAACGAUAAGAACUAUCACUACUCUGAAGACAACGAUGUGUUUUCUCAAGAUGAUAACGGAUCUAGCUUCGCCAUCAAUAAGUAUGAGACAAAGGAGUCCAUCUUUGAUGAAACAUCCAUUUGCCUGUUGUACAUUUUUGCAGGACAACCAGCCUGAGCACAAGAGACAUGGUGUACUAGACUUUGUGCGGAAUGUCUACUUCAAAACUUGCAUCUUUAUAUCUGAUAUAUAGAGAUAUAGAGAUAUAGAGAUAUAGAGAGAGGCUGAUGAUUUAUAAACACAAACGAUAAGACUUGUAACAUGAAGUUUGUCGAAAAAGUCAAUCUUUAAAUUCCUUUCUGAACCUCUCUGUUAUGUCAGUGCUUCGGUAUUAUGUUUUAAUGCAGUCACUUGAGGCGUUGUCCUAAUAGGUGCAAAGUUACCGUAUAUUUAGGUUUCAUGUUUGUGAUUACUGGAGAACGACUGUGAAGAGACCAACCGUAUCGUGUUUUUUCCAAUUGUGAUCUUCCAAUGCUUAAUAAAUACGAAAUCUUAUUUCGAUUUACAGGCUGGGCAUUCACGAAACAUAGCGUUUUUACAUUUCUACAGGCACAC
RNAcentral lists this long non-coding RNA (2023 nucleotides) under Schizosaccharomyces pombe (fission yeast). Its description in RNAcentral is "centromeric lncRNA". The record is from RNAcentral. Lineage: Eukaryota; Fungi; Ascomycota; Schizosaccharomycetes; Schizosaccharomycetales; Schizosaccharomycetaceae.